GACGAACGCUGGCGGCGUGCUUAACACAUGCAAGUCGAACGGUGAAGGGGUCUGCUUUUGUGGGCCCUGGAUGAGUGGCGAACGGGUGAGUAACACGUGAGUAACCUGCCCCCUUCUUCUGGAUAACCGCAUGAAAGUGUGGCUAAUACGGGAUAUUCUGGGUCUGUCGCAUGAUGGGUCUGGGAAAGAUUGCGCCUUUGGGUGUUUUUGGUGGGGGGUGGGCUCGCGGCCUAUCAGCUUGUUGGUGGGGUGAUGGCCUACCAAGGCGGUGACGGGUAGCCGGCCUGAGAGGGUGGACGGUCACACUGGGACUGAGACACGGCCCAGACUCCUACGGGAGGCAGCAGUGGGGAAUAUUGCACAAUGGGCGCAAGCCUGAUGCAGCGACGCCGCGUGAGGGAUGGAGGCCUUCGGGUUGUAAACCUCUUUCGCCAGUGAAGCAGGCCUGCUCCUUGUGGGUGGGUUGACGGUAGCUGGAUAAGAAGCGCCGGCUAACUACGUG
This 502-nucleotide ribosomal RNA is filed under the name uncultured bacterium. RNAcentral describes it as "partial 16S ribosomal RNA". It matches the Rfam family "Bacterial small subunit ribosomal RNA", at positions 28 to 507 of the family's 1533-position model. The record is from RNAcentral.